RNAcentral lists this ribosomal RNA (414 nucleotides) under uncultured Gammaproteobacteria bacterium. Its description in RNAcentral is "bacterial SSU rRNA". It matches the Rfam family "Bacterial small subunit ribosomal RNA", at positions 9 to 426 of the family's 1533-position model. The record is from RNAcentral. Lineage: Bacteria; Pseudomonadati; Pseudomonadota; Gammaproteobacteria.
GAGUUUGAUCAUGGCUCAGAUUGAACGCUGGCGGCAUGCCUAACACAUGCAAGUCGAGCGGUAACAGGCCCGCAAGGGUGCUGACGAGCGGCGGACGGGUGAGGAAUGCAUAGGAAUCUGCCUUAGAGCGGGGGAUAGCCGGGGGAAACUCCGAUUAAUACCGCAUGAUGUCGAAAGACCAAAGUGGGGGACCGUAAGGCCUCACACUCUAAGAUGAGCCUAUGCCCGAUUAGCUAGUUGGCGGGGUAAUGGCCCACCAAGGCGACGAUCGGUAGCUGGUCUGAGAGGACGAUCAGCCACACCGGAACUGAGACACGGUCCGGACUCCUACGGGAGGCAGCAGUGGGGAAUAUUGGGCAAUGGGGGCAACCCUGAUCCAGCCAUGCCGCGUGAGUGAAGAAGGCCUUCGGUUGU